Molecule: small nuclear RNA, 104 nt
Organism: Mustela erminea (ermine)
Lineage: Eukaryota; Metazoa; Chordata; Mammalia; Carnivora; Mustelidae
Source: RefSeq, a predicted model, not a curated record
ACCUUCUAACAAGUGCAUAUACUAAAAUUGGAACAAUACAGAAGAUUAGCAUGGCCUCUGCACAAGAAGGACACAUAAUUCAUGAAGCAUUCCAUAAAACCUUU